GAUGAACGCUGGCUGCGUGCUUAACACAUGCAAGUCGAAGGAAGACGACUGCUGCUUGUUGCUUUUGAUAUACUGCCAAACGGGCGAGUAUCACUAGAGCUAUACUCCCCCUGACUCUGGCUUGAGGAUGGCCAUUGUGGGUCUAAACUAGUAUCUGAUGACUCCUCUCAAGGAGUGCUGAUGGGGAUCUUUAAUUUAUCUGGAAGGACUCGCGAUCCAUCUGAUUAACUUGGAGGUAGUGUAUCAGCCCGCCGAUGAUAGGAUCCCUGCCUGAUCUGAUAACAGGGCCCCCUGCGUUGGAAAUGAGACCCAGACUCCUCUCCUACGGGACGCUGCGGAGUAUAGUAUUGUGCGCUGGACCAUGAUCCGACCCCGCCGCGUAGCGUGUGAGAUGACUUGCCCUAUGGGUUGUCUUCUGCUUUGAAAAAGGAUUUUUGUGACUCUCCUGACACAUUAUGCAUGUGCCUAUAUGAAUGCCGACCGGCUCGUUCCUAGCCAGCGCCCGAGCGUUUUCCGAAAGUCCUGGCGUUAUCCAGAUCUAAUGCGUUUUGUCGCAUCUGAUGUCAGAGAUUGAGCGUGUUGUGAAAUGUAGAUGCUCAACUUCUGCACUGCAGCGCGAACUGGUUUCCUUGAGUACGCACAAAGUGGGCGGAAUUCGUGGUGUAGCGGUGAAAUGCUUAGAUAUCACGAAGAACUCCGAUUGCGAAGGCAGCUCACUGGAGCGCAACUGACGCUGAAGCUCGAAAGUGCGGGUAUCGAACAGGAUUAGAUACCCUGGUAGUCCGCACGGUAAACGAUGGAUGCCCGCUGUUGGUCUGAAUAGGUCAGCGGCCAAGCGAAAGCAUUAAGCAUCCCACCUGGGGAGUACGCCGGCAACGGUGAAACUCAAAGGAAUUGACGGGGGCCCGCACAAGCGGAGGAACAUGUGGUUUAAUUCGAUGAUACGCGAGGAACCUUACCCGGGCUUGAAUUGCAGAGGAAGGAUUUGGAGACAAUGACGCCCUUCGGGGUCUCUGUGAAGGUGCUGCAUGGUUGUCGUCAGCUCGUGCCGUGAGGUGUCGGCUUAAGUGCCAUAACGAGCGCAACCCCUCUCCUUAGUUGCCAUCAGGUUAAGCUGGGCACUCUGGGGACACUGCCACCGUAAGGUGUGAGGAAGGUGGGGAUGACGUCAAAUCAGCACGGCCCUUACGUCCGGGGCUACACACGUGUUACAAUGGCAGGUACAGAGAGAUGGUGUUCUGCAAAGCGCAUCUAAUCCUUAAAGCCUGUCUCAGUUCGGACUGGGGUCUGCAACCCGACCCCACGAAGCUGGAUUCGCUAGUAAUCGCGCAUCAGCCAUGGCGCGGUGAAUACGUUCCCGGGCCU
This 1365-nucleotide ribosomal RNA is filed under the name uncultured bacterium. RNAcentral describes it as "bacterial SSU rRNA". It matches the Rfam family "Bacterial small subunit ribosomal RNA", at positions 28 to 1381 of the family's 1533-position model. The record is from RNAcentral.